AUGAACUCAGUGACAGAGAGCGGAUUGAACUCAGUGACAGAGAGCGGAUUGAACUCAGUGACAGAAAGCCGAUUGAACUCAGUAAGGGAGAGAGGAUUCUUCAGUUUGGUGGAUGAACCUUUGGUGACAGGAUCGAUCGACUCCCUGCUCGCUAAGCUCAACUUCACCACCAAACUGAAGAAGAGGCGUGCCAAAGUAAUGAAAGAACUAUAUCAAGAUGUGCUGAAACUAAAGAAAGGUUUCGACAACCUUGGCGGGGGCCGGGUGAUGGAUCCAUGUGCCCUAUUGUGGACGCAGUUUGCUAGAGAUCUGGUCUUUGACAUUGAAGAGUGGGUUGAUGCGAGGCCGGGUUCCGCAAAUUCAUCAAAGAGAGAGUUAAUUGAUCUGUUCAAGCACCGGAUCCAUAAUGUGUGUGAGCAGUUCACGUGGUGCGACCUUCUCGGUCCUACCGAAGAUCAGUUCAAGCUUAUCCAUGAUUUGCAUAAAGAUUUGGAGAGCCUUAAGAAAGAUCUCCCCUAUAAGUUUGGCCCACCGGUGACUCCUGAGCAGUCAGUGUGGAUGGAUCAAACAUGUGAGCUGGUCAGCAAGGUGGAAACUUUGGUCCAUCAAAAGCCAAUAAAGGACAUGGAUGAAUCAUGGGAAAAACUAAUACAGGAGUACAAGGCCAAAAUACAACAAACGCGUGAUACACUCAGUACAACCCCCAUUUGCUGUCCACUGCUUUCUGAGGAGAAAACCCACAACCUCAUUGCUCUCAAAGCACCAAGUAGUAAGCUUCUCAUGCAUCUGACUUCCUCACAGGCGAGGCUAAAGCUGGUGUCUGUCGUCGGAAUGGAAGGCCUUGGUAAGACUACUCUUGCCAAGGAGGUAUAUGCAAAGCUUCAAAACAAGUUCGAGUGCCGAGCUUUCGUUACUGUUAGCAAAAACGCGUAUCUAACGGCCGCUCUACUGGAUAUACUUCAUCAAGUAAAGCCACAGGGUACUAUUCCUCGCAAUGGCCCGGGAGCUCCUGAAAUUAACCAAGUCGUAACCGAGCUCAGGGAAUACCUCGUCACAAAGAGCUAUUUCAUCUUAAUUGAUGACAUUUGGAGCAUCCGGGUAUGGGAUAUUCUUAAUUGUGCUUUGCCUGAGAAUGAUCUUGGAAGUAGAGUAUUGAUCACAACUUGCAUCAGUGAUGUUGCCAAAUGUUGUUCUAUGCGCCCCGUUGAUGCCAUCCACCAGAUGGAGCCUCUUAGCGAGGAAGACUCAAAGACAUUAUUUCAUGAGGAGGCAAAAAGGCCCGCUGCAAAUGAGUUGUUGAAAAUGUGCGGUGGCAUGCCAUUGGCAAUAAUUGUUGCAGCCGGCAGGAAAUCUGCAGGACUAGCUGACUCAGAGAUCGAAUAUUAUGCCAUCAAGAAAGAGCGUUUGAUACGGCUGUGGAUCGCUGAGGGAUUUAUCUUAGGAAGAUGUGAAGAAAGCUUGUGGAGGACAGGAGAAAGCUAUUUCAACGAGCUCAUCGGUAGGGGGCUGAUUCAGCCAGUGUUUGGCUACGAAGAUGGCCAGGCUGUGGCGUGUACGGUGCAUGGUGUGAUCCUUGAGUUCAUCAAAUCUUUGUCUAGGAAAUACAAGUUUGCUACAACGGGUGCAGACUUGAGGUCUGGAGUAUGUCCUUGGUACCCAAUUCGCCAUUUCUCAGUCGAUUACUGCAGUAAGCAAGAUGAAGUGAACACAUUGGACUUAAGAACCCUGCACCUUUCUAGCAUGCGGACCCUCCAAGUCUUUGGGCCUGUUGGAUGGACAACUCUCCGCACAGGUUCUAAGGUUAUGAAAGGGAAGGCUGUUCCGGGGGAUACUGAGGGGAUCCCUCUUCUGUCAAGCUUCAAAAAUUUACGGGUACUCGAUCUGGAAGAUAAUGACAAUUUGAGAAGCCACCAUCUGAAAGACAUUGGAGGGUUGGUUCUGCUAAGGUACCUGGGGCUUAGAGGGUCUGCUAUCCAUGCAUUACCAGACGAAAUAGGAAAGCUGGAACACUUGGAGACGCUAGAUGUCAGGCACACUAACCUGAGAAAUCUGCCUGCAUCUAUAGUUGGAUUGGAAAGGUUGGUAUGCCUACUGAUUGAAGAUGCCGUGGAGAUGCUGAGCAAUAUCCUUGUAAUGCAAGGACUACAAGAAGUAUCAACGAUCAGGGUCGACAACAUCGAGUCACUCCAUGAGGUGGUGGAGCUGCUGGCUCGGUCGGAGAGGCUGAGCAUCCUUGGCUUGAGCUUUGACGAACUAAGCCCAUCUCUGGACAGUGCACGUGCAUUCACCGAUUUAUUGAGGGCGGUUGGACAGUCUAAACUUCGGUCCCUAUCUCUGCAUUGUCUUCAUGGUGACUGGAUUGGCCUACUGGACUCGAGACCAUACCAGCUGCGAAGAUUUGAGGUGUCUGUACCUGUUCCAGUCUUGGAAAGUACUGUAUCUAUUAUUCCCUGCUGUAUCACCCACUUGAAUAUUGAAGUGGCUCAUUUGGGAGAGGAAGGUCUCAUUGUGAUCGCGUCCAUGCCCCAGCUUGUCCUUCUCAAGUUAGCAUCUUCAGGACCUGCUGCUGCCAUGAUGGACACGGACACAUCCUUACGAAAACAGAGAAGAAGAGCGAGAAUUCGGAGGGGAGCCUUUCUGUGUCUUAAGGUGUUGUGGUUCACAUGCAAGGCUGGUGGGAAUGAGGUGCAGUUUGAUCCAGGAGCCAUGCCACAGCUGCAGGGGCUGCGGCUCCACUUCAACACUCUAGAGACGCUGUCCCUUUAUGGAGAUUUUGAGUUCGGCAUUGAGCAUCUCUCUAGUCUCAACAGAAUCCAUGCGACCUUCACAUGUGAGGAUACUGCCGCUCCAGAGGUGGUGCAUGCAGAGGCUGCCAUCAAACAGCAAGUAUCUCAGAUCUCCUCCGCCAACACACCAACAAUAGAGUUCAGCAGAGAGAAACCCAGGAUGCUCGAGGAGAAAAAGAAGACGGUGGCCAUGAUCACCCAGAAAAGUAGCUUCAGUAGAUGGUUGAGGGGAAAAAAGAGAGGAUAG
Molecule: ribosomal RNA, 3033 nt
Filed under: Triticum aestivum (bread wheat)
Lineage: Eukaryota; Viridiplantae; Streptophyta; Magnoliopsida; Poales; Poaceae
Description: partial small subunit ribosomal RNA
Source: RNAcentral